GCCGAAGUGGUGGAACUGGCAGACACGCAUGGUUGAGGGCCAUGUGCCCUACCGGGUAUGGGGGUUCGAGUCCCCCCUUCGGCA
Molecule: transfer RNA, 84 nt
Filed under: Candidatus Euphemobacter frigidus
Lineage: Bacteria; Pseudomonadati; Candidatus Auribacterota; Candidatus Erginobacteria; Candidatus Erginobacterales; Candidatus Erginobacteraceae
Description: tRNA-Leu
Rfam family: tRNA
About the family: Transfer RNA (tRNA) molecules are approximately 80 nucleotides in length.
Source: RNAcentral